UGGGGAAUUUUGGACAAUGGGCGAAAGCCUGAUCCAGCAAUGCCGCGUGUGUGAAGAAGGCCUUCGGGUUGUAAAGCACUUUUGUCCGGAAAGAAAUCCUUGGCUCUAAUACAGUCGGGGGAUGACGGUACCGGAAGAAUAAGCACCGGCUAACUACGUGCCAGCAGCCGCGGUAAUACGUAGGGUGCAAGCGUUAAUCGGAAUUACUGGGCGUAAAGCGUGCGCAGGCGGUUUGCUAAGACCGAUGUGAAAUCCCCGGGCUCAACCUGGGAACUGCAUUGGUGACUGGCAGACUAGAGUAUGGCAGAGGGGGGUAGAAUUCCACGUGUAGCAGUGAAAUGCGUAGAGAUGUGGAGGAAUACCGAUGGCGAAGGCAGCCCCCUGGGCCAAUACUGACGCUCAUGCACGAAAGCGUGGGGAGCAAACAGGAUUAGAUGCCCUGGUAGUCCACGCCCUAAACGAUGUCAACUAGUUGUUGGGGAUUCAUUUCCUUAGUAACGUAGCUAACGCGUGAAGUUGACCGCCUGGGGAGUACGGUCGCAAGAUUAAAACUCAAAUGAAUUGACGGGGUCAUAGCUG
This 579-nucleotide ribosomal RNA is filed under the name uncultured bacterium. Its description in RNAcentral is "partial 16S ribosomal RNA". It matches the Rfam family "Bacterial small subunit ribosomal RNA", at positions 355 to 932 of the family's 1533-position model. The record is from RNAcentral.